Molecule: non-coding RNA, 1166 nt
Organism: Physcomitrium patens
Lineage: Eukaryota; Viridiplantae; Streptophyta; Bryopsida; Funariales; Funariaceae
Source: RefSeq, a predicted model, not a curated record
ACACCCCUUGUUGAGACCUAAAUAUUCAAUGGUUGGGAUCAGGAAAGCUCUUGUCACUUGACCUUGAAUUCGCAGUCUCAAGCUGGUACGCAUCGUUUGAAGUUAUGGGUGUGUUCAGGGUGUUUGUUGACAUUGUGUGGGGAAAAUUUGAAAAAGAUGGUUCUACUUAGCAAAACAAAUUGGGGAUGUGUCUUGCGACUGAUCGCCGCCGAGUCUUGUCGUCCAUUCUGCUGCGACAUGUCGCAUUGUCAACAGGCUAAAGGUGCAACCGAGUUUUGGGGUAAGGAACUAUAUGCUCUGGAGGAGCGUAGUAUUCUUCCCUCUAGUUUUGUUUGUGGGCUACUGUUAUUUCCACCUCGUGAAAAAUUGGGUGCGAGAGAAGUGAAUUACCGUCACUUACCCGAAAGAGUGCCUUUCAACAUGUUGGUUAGUAUAGAUUUCUCCCAUCAGCUAGGUUGUGGUGGGCCCUUGGAAUUGCUAGUUUCGCUUGGAACGCCUGAUUUGUGGAUUUUAGACCUGGAGAUAUUUUCAGCGCUACAACCUUUCGGGGUUGAAUUAUAACUCGCGACUUUUUCACCUGAAAUUGUACUUCUCUUUGUUACGCAUCUGUGCUCAUUAUCCUCUAUGAAGUUGUAGCCACUUGAAGACUCUGCGGUGAGCAUGAUGCGUUCUGGUGGGUGUUGUUCGCUGCAGCUUACAUGUGGCUGCUUUAGUUCCCUCUAUAAAUCUCUCAAGCUAGAUGUACGUUGGUCAUGCUACACUCCCACAUGUUAAACAAAUCUAUUCUACUCUUAUGAAGGUUACCGUAUUCACAGUUGUGUGUUUUCUAGUUGGAGUUGAAACAUGACCUCACUCACGUGAUUUAACAAAACUGCUUCAGUGAUUCUGUAAUCUUUACAGUGUUAAGAUACACACCCACUUCGCUUCAGAUUGAACUUGGACGGAGCUCAGAGAAUGAAAAUGAUGCUGAUUUUUCUUUGUUGAAAUGCCUGGAGGAUGUGGAUGAGCAAACUCACUUGGUUAGUGUCCUGCACUACACGCUCAAUGAAGUAUUCAAAUAAACAUGACUGAAGUAAUAAAGUUGAUUUCUUACUGUGUAAUAAAGCAUUUGAGAUAUGAAGCUAUGUACAAAUAUGGGUCCAUUUAUAAAUUGUAUGUUUAAGAAA